GACGAACGCUGGCGGCGUGCUUAACACAUGCAAGUCGAACGCUGAAGCUUGGUGCUUGCACUGGGUGGAUGAGUGGCGAACGGGUGAGUAAUACGUGAGUAACCUGCCCUUGACUCUGGGAUAAGCCUGGGAAACUGGGUCUAAUACUGGAUACGACAUGUCACCGCAUGGGGGUGUGUGGAAAGGGUUUUACUGGUUUUGGAUGGGCUCACGGCCUAUCAGCUUGUUGGUGGGGUAAUGGCUCACCAAGGCGACGACGGGUAGCCGGCCUGAGUGGGUGACCGGCCACACUGGGACUGAGACACGGCCCAGACUCCUACGGGAGGCAGCAGUGGGGAAUAUUGCACAAUGGGCGGAAGCCUGAUGCAGCGACGCCGCGUGAGGGAUGACGGCCUUCGGGUUGUAAACCUCUUUCAGCACGGAAGAAGCGAAAGUGACGGUACGUGCAGAAGAAGCGCCGGCUAACUACGUG
RNAcentral lists this ribosomal RNA (472 nucleotides) under uncultured bacterium. Its description in RNAcentral is "partial 16S ribosomal RNA". It matches the Rfam family "Bacterial small subunit ribosomal RNA", at positions 28 to 507 of the family's 1533-position model. The record is from RNAcentral.